GUUUGCUUCAGCAGUACAUAUGCUAAAAUGGGAACAAUACAGAGAAGAUUAGCAUUGGCCCCUGUGCAAGAAUGACAUGCAAAUUAUUGAAGUGUUCCGUAUUUUA
Molecule: small nuclear RNA, 106 nt
Organism: Gorilla gorilla gorilla (western lowland gorilla)
Lineage: Eukaryota; Metazoa; Chordata; Mammalia; Primates; Hominidae
Source: Rfam